RNAcentral lists this ribosomal RNA (410 nucleotides) under uncultured bacterium. Its description in RNAcentral is "bacterial SSU rRNA". It matches the Rfam family "Bacterial small subunit ribosomal RNA", at positions 505 to 916 of the family's 1533-position model. The record is from RNAcentral.
GUGCCAGCCGCCGCGGUAAUACGGAGGGUGCAAGCGUUAUCCGGAUUCAUUGGGUUUAAAGGGUGCGCAGGCGGAUACUUAAGUCAGUGGUGAAAUCCCGGGGCUCAACCCCGGAACUGCCAUUGAUACUGAAUAUCUGGAAUACGGUUGAAGUGGGCGGAAUGUAGCAUGUAGCGGUGAAAUGCAUAGAGAUGCUACAGAACACCGAUCGCGAAGGCAGCUCACUAAGCCGAUAUUGACGCUCAGGCACGAAAGCGUGGGGAGCGAACAGGAUUAGAUACCCUGGUAGUCCACGCCGUAAACGAUGAUAACUCGUUGUUGGCGACACACAGUCAGCGACUAAGCGAAAGCGAUAAGUUAUCCACCUGGGGAGUACGAUCGCAAGGUUGAAACUCAAGGGGAAUUGACGG